This 221-nucleotide long non-coding RNA is filed under the name Lathyrus oleraceus (garden pea). RNAcentral describes it as "Pisum sativum (pea) long non-coding RNA (PSAT_LNC010045)". The record is from RNAcentral. Lineage: Eukaryota; Viridiplantae; Streptophyta; Magnoliopsida; Fabales; Fabaceae.
CCACCCUUACCAUGCCUACUGUGGAUGGCAUAGUAAGUAUCAGCUAACAAGGUGGGGACUGGAUUUCCUCUGAUGAAAAUGCUGAUGGCAGCAUGGUCAACAAAAUUUGGCAUACUGGGAAAUAGGAUGAUUCCAUAUAUCAAGGCGGCAAGCUGUGCGUGAAAAGCUUCCCAAUUUCCCUUCUCUGCUUCAUCUCUGGCUAUUCUCAACAGAAACUUCAA